RNAcentral lists this ribosomal RNA (115 nucleotides) under Priestia megaterium. RNAcentral describes it as "partial 16S ribosomal RNA". It matches the Rfam family "Bacterial small subunit ribosomal RNA", at positions 1 to 110 of the family's 1533-position model. RNAcentral also lists the same sequence under 3 other names. Lineage: Bacteria; Bacillati; Bacillota; Bacilli; Caryophanales; Bacillaceae. The record is from RNAcentral.
UCUUCGGAGAGUUUGAUCCUGGCUCAGGAUGAACGCUGGCGGCGUGCCUAAUACAUGCAAGUCGAGCGAACUGAUUAGAAGCUUGCUUCUAUGACGUUAGCGGCGGACGGGUGAG